RNAcentral lists this ribosomal RNA (253 nucleotides) under uncultured bacterium. RNAcentral's name for it is "partial 16S ribosomal RNA". It matches the Rfam family "Bacterial small subunit ribosomal RNA", at positions 524 to 776 of the family's 1533-position model. The record is from RNAcentral.
UACGGGGGGGGUAAGCGUUGUUCGGAAUUACUGGGCGUAAAGGGCUCGUAGGCGGCCAACUAAGUCAGACGUGAAAUCCCUCAGCUUAACUGGGGAACUGCGUCUGAUACUGGAUGGCUUGGAUCCGGGAGAGGGAUGCGGAAUUCCAGGUGUAGCGGUGAAAUGCGUAGAUAUCGAGAGGAACACCUGCGGCGAAGGCGGGUUGCUGGGCUGACACUGACGCUGAUGCGCGAAAGCUAGGGGAGCGAACGGG